AGGUCUCGGGAAGCGAAAGCAUGUACCGAGAAGUCAGCCGAGGUCAUAGUAGUUACAAGAAAACGAGCCGGUAAGUGCCCGACAGCCAGACAACCGUAGGUCUCACAGCGUAAUGAAGGAC
Molecule: non-coding RNA, 121 nt
Organism: Paludibacter sp. 47-17
Lineage: Bacteria; Pseudomonadati; Bacteroidota; Bacteroidia; Bacteroidales; Paludibacteraceae
Source: Rfam